GAUGAACGCUGGCGGCGUGCCUAAUACAUGCAAGUCGAGCGAACAGACGAGGCGCUUGCUCCUCUCACGUUAGCGGAGGACGGGAGAGUAACACGUGGAUAACCUACCUAUAAGACUGGGAAAACUUCGGGAAACCGGAGCAAAUCCCGGAUGAUAUCUUGAUCCGCGUGGUGCAAUAGUGAAAGACGGUUUUGCUGUCACUUCUAGAUGGUUCCGAGCCGCAUUAGCUAGUUGGUACGGAAACGGCUUACCAAGGCAACGAUGCGUAGCCGACCGGGGAGGGUGGUAGGCGACAUGAGAGCGUGGACACGGUCCAGACGCCUACGGGAGGCAGCAGAAGGGAAUCUUCCGCAGUGGGCGAGAGCCUGGCGGAACAACGCCACGUCAGUUAUGAAGGUCUUCGGAGCGUAAUACUCUGUUUUUAGUUAUGAACAAAUGUGUAAUGAACUGUGCACUUCUUGACGGUACCUAGUCAGAAAGCCACGGCUAACUACGUG
RNAcentral lists this ribosomal RNA (497 nucleotides) under uncultured bacterium. Its description in RNAcentral is "partial 16S ribosomal RNA". It matches the Rfam family "Bacterial small subunit ribosomal RNA", at positions 28 to 507 of the family's 1533-position model. The record is from RNAcentral.